AACGACGCUGGCGGCGUGGAUUAGGCAUGCAAGUCGAACGAUCCCGCAAGGGAUAGUGGCGAAAGGGUGCGUAACACGUGGGCAAUCUGCCCCCGAAACGGGAAUAACUUCGGGAAACCGAAGCUAAUACCUGAUGACACCGAGCUGCCGCAUGGUGGCACGGUGAAAGGCGUCCGCAAGGGUGCCGAUCGGGGGAUGAGCCCGCGGCCUAUCAGCUAGUUGGUGAGGUAACGGCCCACCAAGGCGAUGACGGGUAGCCGGCCUGAGAGGGUGGUCGGCCACAUUGGGACUGAGACACUGCCCAGACUCCUACGGGAGGCUGCAGUCGAGGAUCUUCCGCAAUGGGGGAAACCCUGACGGAGCGACGCCGCGUGGAGGAUGAAGGCCUUCGGGUCGUAAACUCCUGUCAGUCUGGAAGAAAAUCUGCAGCAAUGUGGAUUGACCGUACAGGCAGAGGAAGCUCCGGCUAACUCCGUG
RNAcentral lists this ribosomal RNA (477 nucleotides) under uncultured bacterium. RNAcentral's name for it is "bacterial SSU rRNA". It matches the Rfam family "Bacterial small subunit ribosomal RNA", at positions 33 to 507 of the family's 1533-position model. The record is from RNAcentral.